UAAGUCUUUUAUUUCAUGUUUAUCAUUCACACUUCAUUUUUUUGUAAAGAUUUGAUCAUAAGCAUUUUGAUCUUAAUUUGAUCUUAGACCUUCGAGCUUGCAAAACACAGCCCAAACUUGCCAGGAAAUGAAAGCAUGCAGGAUAUGAUCCAUUGAGAUUCUGGAUAUCACUGUUUCAGGUUUUAUAAUUUGAAAUGUUACCAUGCUCUGCAGUGCUUGAAUUUUGCCAAGGCCUUGUACAGCUGCAUAAAUGUGAGUGAAGUAACCAGGAGUUUUGCUUGGAAAAUCUGAUUAUGCUGCAAGAGCAAAAUGUUCCAGCUCAUGAGGACGAAAGACUGGCGGUGCCCCUCCUUUAAGUGAAUAAUGAGUUUGCACAGAAAAAUAGAGGCUAAGGAAAAUAUAUACUAAAUACAUCUUCAUCUACUCUAUCUCAUAGAUUCUGUUCUUCUGACUUCUCAUACCUUCCUGGUAUGCUACUAAGUGCCCUAUAUGCAAACAAUGACAAUAAAAAUAUGAACAUUUA
Molecule: non-coding RNA, 523 nt
Organism: Taeniopygia guttata (zebra finch)
Lineage: Eukaryota; Metazoa; Chordata; Aves; Passeriformes; Estrildidae
Source: RefSeq, a predicted model, not a curated record